Vicia faba (fava bean) is the source of this 192-nucleotide non-coding RNA. The record is from the annotation of a GenBank genome assembly. NCBI's taxonomy places the organism in Eukaryota, Viridiplantae, Streptophyta, Magnoliopsida, Fabales, Fabaceae.
AUGAUGCCCGGAUUCGCAUUGCCUUGCACCAGUCUUAAUAAAACCAAAAUCAAUACAGACGCUAAACAGCCCUGCAUUUUUUCAAUCAAACAGCUCAUCAUUUCAUCUAACACCAUACAACCAAUUCAAUUCAUAAGCCAAAAACCGACUGAAGCAAUUAGCUUAGAGUUAAUUAUCACUGUCCAUAUUUGA